RNAcentral lists this ribosomal RNA (257 nucleotides) under Cryptosporidium parvum. RNAcentral describes it as "partial small subunit ribosomal RNA". It matches the Rfam family "Eukaryotic small subunit ribosomal RNA", at positions 441 to 699 of the family's 1831-position model. Lineage: Eukaryota; Apicomplexa; Conoidasida; Eucoccidiorida; Cryptosporidiidae. The record is from RNAcentral.
UUACCCAAUCCUAAUACAGGGAGGUAGUGACAAGAAAUAACAAUACAGGACUUUUUGGUUUUGUAAUUGGAAUGAGUUAAGUAUAAACCCCUUUACAAGUAUCAAUUGGAGGGCAAGUCUGGUGCCAGCAGCCGCGGUAAUUCCAGCUCCAAUAGCGUAUAUUAAAGUUGUUGCAGUUAAAAAGCUCGUAGUUGGAUUUCUGUUAAUAAUUUAUAUAAAAUAUUUUGAUGAAUAUUUAUAUAAUAUUAACAUAAUUC